RNAcentral lists this ribosomal RNA (504 nucleotides) under uncultured bacterium. RNAcentral describes it as "partial 16S ribosomal RNA". It matches the Rfam family "Bacterial small subunit ribosomal RNA", at positions 28 to 507 of the family's 1533-position model. The record is from RNAcentral.
GACGAACGCUGGCGGCGUGCCUAAUACAUGCAAGUAGAACGCACAGUUUAUACCGUAGCUUGCUACACCAUAGACUGUGAGUUGCGAACGGGUGAGUAACGCGUAGGUAACCUGCCUGGUAGCGGGUGAUAACUAUGGGAAACGAUAGCUAAUACCGCAUAAUAUUAAUUAUUGCAUGAUAAUUAAUUGAAAGGUGCAAUUGCACCACUACCAGAUGGACCUGCGCUGUAUUAGCUAGUAGGUGAGGUAACGGCUCACCUAGGCAACGAUGCAUAGCCGACCUGAGAGGGGGAGCGGCCACACGGGAACUGAGACACGGUCCAGACUCCUACGGGAGGCAGCAGUAGGGAAUCUGCCGCAAUGGGCGAAAGCCUGACGGAGCAACGCCGCGGGAGUGAGGAAGGUCGUCGGAUCGUAAAACUCUGUUAUUAGGGAAGAACAUAUGUGUAAGUAACUGUGCACAUCUUGACGGUACCUAAUCAGAAAGCCACGGCUAACUACGUG